Molecule: non-coding RNA, 216 nt
Organism: Vicia faba (fava bean)
Lineage: Eukaryota; Viridiplantae; Streptophyta; Magnoliopsida; Fabales; Fabaceae
Source: the annotation of a GenBank genome assembly
AUGAAGAUUUCAUACUGUGAAAAUUGGAGCAUGGAUGUUGACGGGAAAGUUAGUUACACCAUUGUUGAGUUGAAGAGCGAUGAAGAUAUGAAGGUCAUGUGGAAAUCAUACCGCUAUAGGCUAACUAAGGGGCCGUUGGAAUUGAAAGCGCGACUUGCCAGAUCUGUCAAUAACAUAAUUAAGAUGGAACGUCCAAAAUCAUCCCGUAGUGUCUAG